Molecule: long non-coding RNA, 537 nt
Organism: Gossypium raimondii (Peruvian cotton)
Lineage: Eukaryota; Viridiplantae; Streptophyta; Magnoliopsida; Malvales; Malvaceae
Exons: 3
Source: RefSeq, a predicted model, not a curated record
AGAAAUUCAAUUCAUUGAAAUAACAUAUAGUUUUGUUGUGUUUGAGCCUCGUUCUUUGUAGUGUUAAUUGUUAUUGUGUUUUGGUUAGGUGAAGGGACUGAAAAUCAACUUCUUCCAGUCGUGUAGGCUUGAUUUUAGACGCUGUUUCAGAUAAGUUUUGUGAGUUCUUGUUGGGUAGUCGAUCAAAUCAACAAUCAGGUGAACCUCAGACUUAGGAUUGGACGGCGACAUUGGAGCUCGAUUUUCAUGGUUUUGGGUUUAGUAUGUUACGAACUUUCAGUUUUAUGGACUUUUUCGGGCUUUGGACAUUUUAAUUUUGUUCGGGACAUUAUAAUUUAUUUUGGUAAUUGUUUUGCUAAAGUUUUUCGUUUUAAUUGGCAUUUAAAAUAAGACAACUAACAAUAAUCUUUAAUAAGCCCAAUUUGCUAUAAUGUGUCCACUGCCAAAUUUUGUCAAAAAAUAGCUAGAAUGUUUUUACACUCAAAUGACUUAAGUAAAAUGGAUUUGUUUUAGUAAAACUAUUAAACAUGGUUUUCC